RNAcentral lists this transfer RNA (706 nucleotides) under uncultured Bartonella sp. Its description in RNAcentral is "partial 16S-23S ribosomal RNA intergenic spacer". The stretch from base 206 to 279 matches the Rfam family "tRNA". Lineage: Bacteria; Pseudomonadati; Pseudomonadota; Alphaproteobacteria; Hyphomicrobiales; Bartonellaceae. The record is from RNAcentral.
CCAAGCCUUCUGGCGAUCUCUUAAAAUAAAGUCUAGCCUAUUUAAACAAAUAGGGCUUUUAGACCUAUGUUUAAAUUUUUAUGAUGUUUAAAUUCUUAUGGAUUUUAAAAAUCGUGAAUUUAAAAAAGUCUUUAUGAAGAAAGCACUUCAAGCUUUUCCAAUGAUUUAAGAUGAUACCGGGGAAGGUUUUCCGGUUUAUCCCGGAGGGCUUGUAGCUCAGUUGGUUAGAGCGCGCGCUUGAUAAGCGUGAGGUCGGAGGUUCAAGUCCUCCCAGGCCCACCAAUUAUACUCGUUUUUUGUUUAUUCUUGAGAGUUAUGAAGCUUAAGCGCAUGAAAGCCUCUUUAAAUCUUUUUUGAUUAUGAAAGAUUUAAUUUUAUCCUUCAAAGAUUGUUUGUGAAAUUUAUCUCAUUUUAAAUUUGUCAGACAGUGCAUUUAUCAAAGAGGAAAAUCCCUUCAAGGGUACAGACAAAUUUAAAUGAUAGAAAUCAAAAUGAUCCAAAUCAUUAAUCGUCCAAGUGAUUGAAGUUGAUAAAUUUACUUGAGGUUGAUUUGAGAGAGCAUUUUUUAGGGGCCGUAGCUCAGCUGGGAGAGCACCUGCUUUGCAAGCAGGGGGUCGUCGGUUCGAUCCCGUCCGGCUCCACCAUUUUAUGGUUCAUCAUCAUGUUGUAAGAACAUCGUUUUGUGAGGGGUUUUAAGAACUUCUUG